Molecule: ribosomal RNA, 361 nt
Filed under: uncultured bacterium
Lineage: Bacteria
Description: bacterial SSU rRNA
Rfam family: Bacterial small subunit ribosomal RNA
Source: RNAcentral
AGGGGGCAACUUCUUGGUUGGGUGGCGGACGGGUGAGUAACACGUGGGUAACCUGCCCGGAAGUGGGGAAUACCUUGGGGAAACUCGAGCUAAUUCCGCAUAACAUCCUUCCUUUGAAGAGGCGGAGAUCAAAGAUGGGGAUCGCAAGACCUAGCGCUGGAAGAGGGGCCCGCGUCUGAUUAGCUAGUUGGUGGGGUAAUGGCUCACCAAGGCAACGAUCAGUAUCCGGCCUGAGAGGGCGGUCGGACACACUGGGACUGAGACACGGCCCAGACUCCUACGGGAGGCAGCAGUGGGGAAUUGUUCGCAAUGGGCGCAAGCCUGACGCAGCAACGCCGCGUGGAGGAUGAAGACCUUCGGG